RNAcentral lists this ribosomal RNA (2901 nucleotides) under Escherichia coli. RNAcentral's name for it is "23S ribosomal RNA". It matches the Rfam family "Bacterial large subunit ribosomal RNA". Lineage: Bacteria; Pseudomonadati; Pseudomonadota; Gammaproteobacteria; Enterobacterales; Enterobacteriaceae. The record is from RNAcentral.
UUAAGCGACUAAGCGUACACGGUGGAUGCCCUGGCAGUCAGAGGCGAUGAAGGACGUGCUAAUCUGCGAUAAGCGUCGGUAAGGUGAUAUGAACCGUUAUAACCGGCGAUUUCCGAAUGGGGAAACCCAGUGUGAUUCGUCACACUAUCAUUAACUGAAUCCAUAGGUUAAUGAGGCGAACCGGGGGAACUGAAACAUCUAAGUACCCCGAGGAAAAGAAAUCAACCGAGAUUCCCCCAGUAGCGGCGAGCGAACGGGGAGCAGCCCAGAGCCUGAAUCAGUGUGUGUGUUAGUGGAAGCGUCUGGAAAGGCGCGCGAUACAGGGUGACAGCCCCGUACACAAAAAUGCACAUGCUGUGAGCUCGAUGAGUAGGGCGGGACACGUGGUAUCCUGUCUGAAUAUGGGGGGACCAUCCUCCAAGGCUAAAUACUCCUGACUGACCGAUAGUGAACCAGUACCGUGAGGGAAAGGCGAAAAGAACCCCGGCGAGGGGAGUGAAAAAGAACCUGAAACCGUGUACGUACAAGCAGUGGGAGCACGCUUAGGCGUGUGACUGCGUACCUUUUGUAUAAUGGGUCAGCGACUUAUAUUCUGUAGCAAGGUUAACCGAAUAGGGGAGCCGAAGGGAAACCGAGUCUUAACUGGGCGUUAAGUUGCAGGGUAUAGACCCGAAACCCGGUGAUCUAGCCAUGGGCAGGUUGAAGGUUGGGUAACACUAACUGGAGGACCGAACCGACUAAUGUUGAAAAAUUAGCGGAUGACUUGUGGCUGGGGGUGAAAGGCCAAUCAAACCGGGAGAUAGCUGGUUCUCCCCGAAAGCUAUUUAGGUAGCGCCUCGUGAAUUCAUCUCCGGGGGUAGAGCACUGUUUCGGCAAGGGGGUCAUCCCGACUUACCAACCCGAUGCAAACUGCGAAUACCGGAGAAUGUUAUCACGGGAGACACACGGCGGGUGCUAACGUCCGUCGUGAAGAGGGAAACAACCCAGACCGCCAGCUAAGGUCCCAAAGUCAUGGUUAAGUGGGAAACGAUGUGGGAAGGCCCAGACAGCCAGGAUGUUGGCUUAGAAGCAGCCAUCAUUUAAAGAAAGCGUAAUAGCUCACUGGUCGAGUCGGCCUGCGCGGAAGAUGUAACGGGGCUAAACCAUGCACCGAAGCUGCGGCAGCGACACUAUGUGUUGUUGGGUAGGGGAGCGUUCUGUAAGCCUGUGAAGGUGUACUGUGAGGUAUGCUGGAGGUAUCAGAAGUGCGAAUGCUGACAUAAGUAACGAUAAAGCGGGUGAAAAGCCCGCUCGCCGGAAGACCAAGGGUUCCUGUCCAACGUUAAUCGGGGCAGGGUGAGUCGACCCCUAAGGCGAGGCCGAAAGGCGUAGUCGAUGGGAAACAGGUUAAUAUUCCUGUACUUGGUGUUACUGCGAAGGGGGGACGGAGAAGGCUAUGUUGGCCGGGCGACGGUUGUCCCGGUUUAAGCGUGUAGGCUGGUUUUCCAGGCAAAUCCGGAAAAUCAAGGCUGAGGCGUGAUGACGAGGCACUACGGUGCUGAAGCAACAAAUGCCCUGCUUCCAGGAAAAGCCUCUAAGCAUCAGGUAACAUCAAAUCGUACCCCAAACCGACACAGGUGGUCAGGUAGAGAAUACCAAGGCGCUUGAGAGAACUCGGGUGAAGGAACUAGGCAAAAUGGUGCCGUAACUUCGGGAGAAGGCACGCUGAUAUGUAGGUGAAGUCCCUCGCGGAUGGAGCUGAAAUCAGUCGAAGAUACCAGCUGGCUGCAACUGUUUAUUAAAAACACAGCACUGUGCAAACACGAAAGUGGACGUAUACGGUGUGACGCCUGCCCGGUGCCGGAAGGUUAAUUGAUGGGGUCAGCGCAAGCGAAGCUCUUGAUCGAAGCCCCGGUAAACGGCGGCCGUAACUAUAACGGUCCUAAGGUAGCGAAAUUCCUUGUCGGGUAAGUUCCGACCUGCACGAAUGGCGUAAUGAUGGCCAGGCUGUCUCCACCCGAGACUCAGUGAAAUUGAACUCGCUGUGAAGAUGCAGUGUACCCGCGGCAAGACGGAAAGACCCCGUGAACCUUUACUAUAGCUUGACACUGAACAUUGAGCCUUGAUGUGUAGGAUAGGUGGGAGGCUUUGAAGUGUGGACGCCAGUCUGCAUGGAGCCGACCUUGAAAUACCACCCUUUAAUGUUUGAUGUUCUAACGUGGACCCGUAAUCCGGGUUGCGGACAGUGUCUGGUGGGUAGUUUGACUGGGGCGGUCUCCUCCUAAAGAGUAACGGAGGAGCACGAAGGUUGGCUAAUCCUGGUCGGACAUCAGGAGGUUAGUGCAAUGGCAUAAGCCAGCUUGACUGCGAGCGUGACGGCGCGAGCAGGUGCGAAAGCAGGUCAUAGUGAUCCGGUGGUUCUGAAUGGAAGGGCCAUCGCUCAACGGAUAAAAGGUACUCCGGGGAUAACAGGCUGAUACCGCCCAAGAGUUCAUAUCGACGGCGGUGUUUGGCACCUCGAUGUCGGCUCAUCACAUCCUGGGGCUGAAGUAGGUCCCAAGGGUAUGGCUGUUCGCCAUUUAAAGUGGUACGCGAGCUGGGUUUAGAACGUCGUGAGACAGUUCGGUCCCUAUCUGCCGUGGGCGCUGGAGAAUUGAGGGGGGCUGCUCCUAGUACGAGAGGACCGGAGUGGACGCAUCACUGGUGUUCGGGUUGUCAUGCCAAUGGCACUGCCCGGUAGCUAAAUGCGGAAGAGAUAAGUGCUGAAAGCAUCUAAGCACGAAACUUGCCCCGAGAUGAGUUCUCCCUGACUCCUUGAGAGUCCUGAAGGAACGUUGAAGACGACGACGUUGAUAGGCCGGGUGUGUAAGCGCAGCGAUGCGUUGAGCUAACCGGUACUAAUGAACCGUGAGGCUUAACCUU